This is a long non-coding RNA of Folsomia candida, 2913 nucleotides long. RefSeq lists it as uncharacterized. The transcript has 5 exons. The record is from RefSeq and is a predicted model, not a curated record. NCBI's taxonomy places the organism in Eukaryota, Metazoa, Arthropoda, Collembola, Entomobryomorpha, Isotomidae.
UAUCACCCGCAGGUGACUAAGUAUUUGCGACUCUACUAUAUGAUGACCCUGCGUCACAACUUGGUAACCGCGUGGAAAUAACCCACAACUUGUUCGGUACUAGUCAAUCAUAACGCAGAAAUAUACCACAACCAACAACACAAAAACCAGGAUCAAUGAAAGUGCGAUGAUCAGCAUUCUUUCUAGUGAUUCAACGUCAAUAUCGGGAACACCAAGAAAUAACAAUGAUUAGAGACUAUGCAAUUUUAUAUGGAUUCACUACCCAAUCAAACAUCUUUAACAAUUUUUAUACAGGAUUAGAUAUGUAACUUUAGGGUUGAAAUUUUUGGCAUACACAAGUACCUAAUUUGCUUCUUGGUUUAUGAAAUAACGCUAAAAAAUCAACAACCUAAACUACAUACAUACUUGAAUCACGAAUGGAGUGAUUUGAGCGACUCGAAAUAAUAUAUUCCUUCUUUUCUGUUAAAAUUUUGUAAAAGAAUAAUAAUGUUUCAUUUUCAUGAAAAUAUUUAUCUGGCGAAUGAGAUUAACUAGAGAAAAAUUCGGGUGAAACACUAUAAAGCCGGUCCCUUUCCACUUAUCUAAAUAUUUAUAAGAUGGGCAAUAAAUGGCAAAUGUUAAACAGCUCGACGCCGGCAUAAUUAGAGACCAUAAAAUGAUAUGUAUGUAUAACGAAUGUGGAACUGUUCUCUUUAUGUUACUUUUCAUUAUUCAAUCUUUACUCUUGUCGGUAGAGUUUCAUUCAAUCAAUUGGUUUCUUGGUAUAUUUGCAUCGCAAUACUCCACAUAAAACCCGUAAACAAUGAUUGACUUGUUUUGCGCAAUAACAGGUUCGAUCUCCACGGUCUGGAUCAAGUAAGAUAAGAUAAGAUAAGACUUGGAUGACAACGUGAUUUACUUCGCAAUACUAAAAUCUUUGAGUACAUGCAUAGUUGUUCAUUUUUAUAAACAUUGUACCAUAUGUGAUUUUGUUUUACAUUAUGCAAGCUGCCAUAAAUAAAUCCAGACCAACUUACUAAACAGUGAAGCCUAAGGCUAGUAAUUUCGCCCGAAAUGUUUCUUCGAAUUGUAUUAAACUACUCCUUUACUGCAAUUACUUAAAUUUCAGAACAUAUAACACAAUACAACACACUAGAACAAUAGAACACACAUUUCAGAAGUGUACGAAAUGGGAGUAUUUCUUCAAAUCAAUUGCAAAAUGUACUUUUGUAAGGUUAAAACCUUCUUUUGGAGCGGAUUCCCACCUGCACAAAAUUCCGACUGCAUACAUAAAUACCUUCUAAUUAACAGCACUUAAUAUUCUAUACAUACAUUUAUAUUGCAACUGCACGUGUUUUAAUUUCUAUAGUUUUUUUUUAUUUUAGGAAAUUCAUCCGUGAGAAAUUCAAAUUAACUGAAAAAACUGACUUUCCAGGUUACAUUUUUACGAUAAAAAACUCAGACUUCUCUUAAAUUCUUGCACCACACUUUGCACCAUAAAUUGCAGACUCGUCAAUUGUUAACUGAAUUGUAAGGCAUGCAAGUUUAACUGAUUGUGCAAAAAUUUAUGACGCAAAGCAGCUUUUCAUCUAAAAAGUUAUACAACCCGUCAAUUGCCAACUGGACUGUCCUGGCCGAAUUGGGCAGUGACAUCAAUUACAAUUACGAGAUUAUGUACGAUAUGUAAAUAUUACUCAUCCGGUGAUGAUAAGAGAAUACAAUGUCACCAGGGACUCUGUCGCCCAAAACAUGCUCAUGUUAUCAAUGUCCUCGCCAAGGAGAAGAUAACCCGUUCAAUUUCACCGGUUUCGUUGUAUAAUACGAUAAUUCUCCAGUUAUAAAAUUACAGUCUUCCAAUCUUAAACUAAAUAUGCUCUAAAUAGCUGGGCGACAAGUUGAAGCACGCGGAAGUACUAUUUUUUGUGAUUAGCGAGACGUUUUGUGACCAACCGAUAAGCAAUCUAAAACUCGUGUAAGAAACACGAGUUAUUUUACAAAAUUAGACAAUUUUACUAUGCUGGGUAAUUUAUGUAUAAUUAGACACAAUUCUGGUCUGGAUAAGAAUCACGUAAAAAGGAUCGAAUUUUAAUGUAUAGAUCAUAGCUAUAAAAUAUAUUUUUUUAUAUACCACUAUUUAACGACGUCACGUGUCAUUGGUAUUUAUUUUUGCUAAAUUAUUUUUAUUCGAAACAUAACGUCACCUUAAUAAUGACUUAAAAAAUUUACCUUCAGCGGUUAAAAUUUGUCUUCAAGUUAUUUACCCAGUAUUUUUACUGAAUAAUUAAACCCCUUCAACCAAAAGUAAGAAGAUGGUGAAAUUGACAUUAACUUUUUGGGUGGUCACCCUGAUCACCUGUCUCGCUCAGGGUGAAAGCCGAGCCAUCGAAAGCGUGGAUUUCGACCUUGAAGACGGGUUCAACUACACGUGUCCCCCGUACUGCGACUACUGCACGGACGACGAUACUUCCUGCCGCUAUUAUCCCGAUGCUAGAAACGAAGAGGGCGGGAUGCCGUGGGGUUUGAUACUCGUAUCUGCCUUAGUCUCCGCUUUUUUCUUCUGCAUUCUUCCCCUCUGGGUAUGCUUUUGUUAUCGAAAAGGAGCCGAACCACAGACUCAAAUUAUCUAUAUUCAGGGACGUGCCCCACCCGGAUAUCAACAAUUACCCAGCCUACCUGGAAGUAAUGGGGGUAACCAAUAAGUCAUCCUGGGUCACCUGAUAAACUUGUACAACUUGGAUUGUUCGAAAUAAUGAAUUUGUACUGAAGGGCAACACAAUUAUAUUAAAAAGAUAACACUCUGUGAAGAAAGUAAACUUUUAUUUCAGGGACUUAUUACCUGAAUUUUUGUUAAAUUCGUUUAUAAAACAUAUAUGCCGUUGUCAUUUGAAAUAUUCGGUACUUUCACGAAAAAAAAUCUAUGUAGUUCUCCCAAAA